RNAcentral lists this long non-coding RNA (233 nucleotides) under Lathyrus oleraceus (garden pea). RNAcentral describes it as "Pisum sativum (pea) long non-coding RNA (PSAT_LNC006876)". The record is from RNAcentral. Lineage: Eukaryota; Viridiplantae; Streptophyta; Magnoliopsida; Fabales; Fabaceae.
AACAUCCAAAUCAUGUACUACAUUACAUGUAAGGUUGUUCAACAACCAACAGAAAACAUAUUAAACAUCCCAUCCCGAUGUUACAUCUACCAGAGCAUGACUCGCUAAGAACUACACUAGACUCCCAGGACUAGCUUCUAUUCAAUCACUGCUCGUUACCUGAAAACACAGUUGUAAGGGUGAGUUCCUCAAUCAAUAUAAUGAAUAUUAUAAAACAUCAUGUUAUGUUAAGU